Molecule: ribosomal RNA, 467 nt
Filed under: uncultured bacterium
Lineage: Bacteria
Description: partial 16S ribosomal RNA
Rfam family: Bacterial small subunit ribosomal RNA
Source: RNAcentral
GACGAACGCUGGCGGCGUGCUUAACACAUGCAAGUCGAACGGAAAGGCUCCAGAUUGCUGGAGUACUCGAGUGGCGAACGGGUGAGUAACACGUGGGUAAUCUGCCCUGCACUCUGGGAUAAGCCUGGGAAACUGGGUCUAAUACUGGAUAUGACCUUUCUCCUUAUGGGGUUUGGUGGAAAGUUUUUCGGUGUAGGAUGAGCCCGCGGCCUAUCAGCUUGUUGGUGGGGUGAUGGCUUACCAAGGCGACGACGGGUAGCCGGCCUGAGAGGGUGAUCGGCCACAUGGGGACUGAGAUACGGCCCAGACUCCUACGGGAGGCAGCAGUGGGGAAUAUUGCACAAUGGGCGGAAGCCUGAUGCAGCGACGCCGCGUGAGGGAUGACGGCCUUCGGGUUGUAAACCUCUUUCAGCAGGGACGAAGCGUAAGUGACGGUACCUGCAGAAGAAGCACCGGCUAACUAUGUG